This is a long non-coding RNA of Oncorhynchus tshawytscha (Chinook salmon), 1954 nucleotides long. NCBI's taxonomy places the organism in Eukaryota, Metazoa, Chordata, Actinopteri, Salmoniformes, Salmonidae. The record is from Ensembl.
GUUUUAAGUAUACACCAAGUCUUGUUUUUUGAUGUAUAUAACUUUGGUCUUUUGCAGCUUUUUUGUUUGCCAUGUUGUUCAUGUCUCCCUUCCUCAGGUGAUGGCGUCCGCCAUAAGGAGGAUACUUUGGUGCUGUCCAACAAGCCGUCUGUUAUCAGAGGGAAAUGUGUCCGUUCAGAGAGCCCUUGAUUUGAGCCCAGCCGAUGCUCACGACAUUGAGACCAUUGACGUCCACGCCUCAGAGACGUGUGGCCAAGCUCAUCACACAGAAGGCUCUGGAGGAGACAGUUAAUUAAGUAAAUUAAUGAAGCACGGGAGCACCACCAACUCACGGUGGUCCCAGCUCUAGGCCCUGCCUGUGUGAAGCCCUCACUAGUGGGACAGAGUGAGGGACAAAGAACCCAGACUAGUCCUCCUCCUCCUCAGCUCUCUUGUUCUCCUCAAGUCCCUCCUAAAUCAGUCUCUUGGGGGGAAUAAGCUACAGUAAUGAAAUGGCACUCUAAAUUAAGCACUAUGCCAGCUACAGUAUGUACUUAGCCUACAUGGAUUGGCGACACAUCUGUGAAAGUACUACUCUCGUUGACUAAAGACAAAUGUAUCUGUCAAUUUCCUGUAGUUGCGGGUGAAACCAUUACCACAACCUCAUUGAUAAGAUGCUUCUGUUUCUCCACCAACUCUGUGGAAGAGUCACUGAAAGUUGCAGCUGUCAAGAUGAGGCAGUGUACAGAGUUGCCUGUAUUGGAGCUCCCCCUUCAGGAACAGCGUAUUGGGUAUCUUCCAUCAGAUGAGGUGAUAAGAUAGAAAACAAGCAUUCAAAAUCUGGUGAUGGUGUGAGAAGCCAUGCUAUGUCUGUCCAAACUGCCCAAAAUCAGGUAUGUAUGUAUGGUCAAGAGUGUGGAGCAUGCAGCACUGACCACCAAUGAUCAUUUGUGUUUGACUACGGUGGUGCAUGUGUGAUCACAGAGCAGUUAGGGUUGCUGUGGUGAGGAGAGGGUCAAAGGUGAAUGUAGUAGAGGUAGUGCAUUGACUCAUAGCCUAGCUAUGGGAGAUUAAUGACCUUGUUACCCUUCAGAAAUUCCCUUUCAGAUGUAUCACUUAUAAACUCAGCAAAAAAAGAAAGAUAAUAGUAAACAGUGUUUAAACCCCAUUGUAAAGGGUUUAAACACUGUUUACCAUGCGUGUUCAAUGAACCAUAAACAAUUAAUGAACAUGCACCUGUGGAAUGGUUGUUAAGACACGAACAGCUUACAGACGAUAGGCAAUUAAGGUCACAGUUAUGAACACUUAGGACACUAAAGAGGCCUUUUUACUGACUCUGAAAAAUACCAAAAGAAAGAUGCCCAGGGUCCCUGCUCAUCUGUGUGAACGUGCCUUAGGCAUGCUGCAAGGAGGCAUGAGGACUGCAGAUGCAGCCAGGGCAAUAAAUUGCAAUGUCUGUACUGUGAGACGCCUAAGACAGCACUAUAGGGAGACAGGACGGACAGCUGAUUGUCCUCGCAGUGGCAGACCGAGUGUAAAAACACCUGAACAGGAAUGACAGUUUUCUGCCAUGGCCAGGGAAGAGCCCGGAUCUCAAUCCCGUUGAGGACGUCUGGGACCUGUUGGAUCGGAGGGUGAGGGCUAGGGCCAUUCCCCCCCAGAAAUGUCCAGGAACUUGCAGGUGCCUUGGUGGAUGAGUGGGGUAACAUCUUACAGCAAGAACUGGCAAACUUGGAGCAGUCCAUGAGGAGAUGCACUGUGGUACUUAAUUAAUGCAGCUGAUGGCCACACCAGAUACUGACUGUUACUUUUGAUUUGGACCCCCCCUUUGUUCAGGGACACAUCAUUCCAUUUCUGUUAGUCACAUGUCUGUGGAACGUGUUCAUUUUAUGUUUCAGUUGUUGAAUCUUAUGUUCAUACAAAUAUUUACACGUUAAGUUUGCUGAAAAUAAACGCAGUUGACAGUGAGAGGACG